Long non-coding RNA from Penaeus indicus, 435 nucleotides. RefSeq lists it as uncharacterized. The transcript has 4 exons. The record is from RefSeq and is a predicted model, not a curated record. Lineage: Eukaryota; Metazoa; Arthropoda; Malacostraca; Decapoda; Penaeidae.
CGAACUGCACCAGGUAAUCUAAUCUUAUCAAAUACCAGCUUCAGUGCAGAGGUUGGCAACCAGUUGCUGGGUAUACGAAGAGGCUAAUAGGUGAAGCAGGCCCCCAGAACUACUCCACAUGCAGAACAGCAACCAAAGUCAGGAUACUCCCUCUCUGGGUGAGAGAGCACCUAGGAGCAGUGAUGAUUAAGGGGCAGCUCCACUUUUCCCAAAACUCCAGAACCCCCAAACUAGAGUAAGGUAAUGCCCAGGGGAUGUGAUGUGGGUUCCUUAUAAAGAACACCAUAAAAUGUAAUGCAUGAUCCAUAUGACCCAUCCCCUGGAGAUUUAUCCAAGACAGCUGUGACGUGAAUAAAAUGUCAACUGGAGCCACAAAUUCUCCAGCUGGCCAGAAGUAGAACGUGCAAGGGACAAGAAUCAGUCCCAAGAAGCAGC